AUGAAAAUUACUUAGCAAUAAUCAUAUUGCCAUAUACAAUACUUUUUGCCACGAGUUUUCAUAAUAAAGAUUACGUAUUGCAAUACUAAACUUUUGCCAUUCUUUGGCUUCAAGAUUCAUUUUCAAUCGACAACUCUUGUAGUUGUCAAAGUAUUACAAUAUCAACUUUUGCCAUUUAUUUGGCUAACAAAACCUAUGUAUUCGCCGGCAUUUUUAUGCUGACUUUAUUUUCACAUAUGUUUCAGGACUUUUUGUUAGUUCUGUUAGUGCAUUAUCUGUCUAUUGCCUCCGUCAAUCUAGUCCGUAGCAGAAACCGAAGAAAACGAGAUUUAUAUUGUUAUAUUAGUAAUACUUAGUCAAAAAGGCAAGGUGGCAUAAUUGUAAUUAAUUAGAAAUCUCAUUAAAAGCUAAGGCCUAUAAAUAGGAGACUUUAUGUUUAGAUUAGGACUUUUGCUACAUUUUGUUAUUUGGAGCUUUCUAGAGCUAUAGAGAGAAACUAGAGAGAGAAAGUGACAUCGUGAUUCAGGUUCUUGUACGUUUUUGCAGAUUUGAUCAAUAGAAUCACAGAUUAUAUUACGUCUCGUGUGUUCGG
Molecule: long non-coding RNA, 592 nt
Filed under: Helianthus annuus (common sunflower)
Lineage: Eukaryota; Viridiplantae; Streptophyta; Magnoliopsida; Asterales; Asteraceae
Source: RNAcentral